AAUAGGCGUAACUCUCUUCCUAAAACAAUAUUGAUUGAUCUCCUUCCCAAAACAACAACGAUGGCCUCCUUCCCCUCUUCUCCUCUUUCAACCUUCUCCUCUCACCCCAAAUGAGAAAUCUUAAGAUCUCCAUAGCUGGCCACCGUCUGCCACCUACCCAUAUGAAUCUUUCAUUUUUAUCACCCCAAGCCAGCAAAUUACCAAAAAUCAGAGAAAAUCAGUCCCUAAUUUGUGCAAAAAUGAAAAUUUCUGAGGAUUCGCAGCUAAAGCUUGAUAAAAACUGAAAUUUUUGUAGAUGAAUGUCAUAAUUUUGAAUUCAAAUCUCAUCUCCAUAAAAAUAUGCUUCAAAUCCAGACUUUGGAGUUCGGAUUUAGGCUAUAAAUAGCCCCAAAAUCGCCAUCAUCAGGAAAAACUUAGAGAUUAAAGGAAAAACUCGACAAGAAGCCCAAGUUUGCUGCACAAUACAAGGUGUGAAUCUGCUUCCUUUUAAUUCAUUUUCUUUUUCCUCCCUUUGUGCAUGUCGAUUCUGUGAAUACGAAAUUCAUUGUGAUCGCUAAUUAGUGUUGUUGUUGUUGUCUUGGCGUUACGGAUGGGAGUGUGGUUAUAAUUUAGUUAUUUGAUCCUCGAGCAUGUCCUUUAAUUUAGAUUCUGGCUGAAAAAAUGAUUUUUGGUACAAGUUUCGAUCAAGUUGUAAGUUGUCGUUAAUCCCAGUGGGUCUAAAUGUGAUCGUUCAUCGGGUUUAAGUUGUUGUUUGGGUGUGAGUGGUUAAGUAUUAAUUCUGUUAGUCUGUAGAACUAGGUGUACAAUGUGAAUUUUUUAUCAAGCUUACGUUGGUUUUGACUCAGAAAUUGAUUCGUGUAUAAAUGUGUGAUUCUCUUGUUGUUACGUUUAACCUAUUUUGCUUUUGCCGAAAAACACAACUUUUGCAGUCAUAUUAUAUGUAUGUAGGAGUCUGUGUGCAUGCCUCGCUCUUCCCUUUACUCUAUUUCCUUUCAAACUUCAAAUACAUGCUUAAUAUGGUAUCACGAAUGACUUUUAAAUAUAUACCAUGCCUUUGAUUGUGUGAAUUUCCCCUUCCUGCUCUACUUUCUCUUCAUCUCAUUUUUUUAUUUUAUUUUUAUUAUUAUUUUUGAGACAUGUUGUUUUCUGUCUUUAAGUUUUGUUGUUGAUGCCUUCAUCGACCCCGUGAAUAGGAUAAAUCUAACUUCGUGAAAUUGCCUUUGGUUCAAAACCAACUUUUAUGAAUACAUGACCGAUAAAUACGCGAAUGGUUUGGGCUACCUCAGAUUCGGUUCAUAUUAGCACCUAUGUUCGCUCCCUACAAACUAAGUUUAGUAUAGAGCUUUGAAGUUGUCCAGUUGCUUGAUGUGGUUGCUUUAAAUAUUAAUAUUGUUUGUUGCUGCAUUUGGUCCUAUGAGCAAGUAUCCGGGUCUAUCUCAAGAUCACAUUUAUGUAUAUACAAGUUCUUGGGCACGAAAAUACAAGACAUAAUUUGGUUUGAUUUCCGAUUAUGGUAUUGCUGUCCAUUUUUUUGUAAAAUCAGGUCCGACAACAUGAUUUUAUUUUAAGUUACAUGGUUGUCCAUUUUACAUAGAUAUGGUUUGGGUUCGUUUAUUGGGUAUAUAGCAAAGUCCAUUUUGAUUCGUUUGUCGUAAAACAGACAUCUCCUUAUAAUAAAGAUAAGAGGUUGCAAUUUGAAGUCGUUAUCUAAAUUAGACGGUUAAGGCUCGUGUAUAUUUGGCCUAAGCUUUUUAAAACAAUUUGUUACCAUUUUAAUUUUUUUACGCACUGCACUACUUGAAUUAAAGUGAGCAGGGAAUAGUCUCAAUUAAAUUUUGUUUCAUUCCUACACAUGGUUUGAAAACCAAGAUAAUAUAAUUCAUUUUUGUGAAGGUGCUUCACUCUUUUGGUAUAACUUAACACUAUCAUCACAUAAGCACUUUUCAUAUGAUUUCAAUCUGUAAGAACUUUGUUUGGAGCAUGUCCAGUCAAAAAAAGAAGAGAAAGUCGACCUUAGCUUGCAUAUCUCGUCUAUUACUUGUCAUGGGAGUAUGUUGUAACAGGUUGUUUAAAUUCGUUAAUUGUUUCUUGUCCUCUUGAAUCAAACUAGCUUUUACAUAUGGGAAUACAUGUGUGAAACAUUUUUUCACUAGUGUUUAAUACGUGCUUAUAUUGGUAAGUGACUGUGUUCUUUGAAGCCUACUUAGACAAAUUGUAAAAAUGUACAUUUCUUUAGAUAGACCAAGUGAGUGACUUUGUUGCUAGUAUUACUCACGCGUCCAUGAUAUAGGUGAUGUUUUAGUUAGUAAAUGGAGAUCAUUGGCCUCGAUUGACGCCAUUUUACUAUUGUUAUUCACGUAAGUAGUUAUAGAUUUUGGGUACUUUAUUCUUACAAUUGCUUGAAGGGCAUGAGUUGGGUGCCUAUAUAUUUGAGCGUCUCGAUACUGGUUUGUGAUCUAUGUCAUACUAUUGGAGUAUUUACUUGUUAUCCUUAAUCCUUUUUUAUAUAUAUUUAGCUUGUUUCUAAUCUGUUUCCUUAUUCUUUUCUUUUACAUGUACACUUGGGAGCUGGAGUUCCGCAGUGGAACUCAAUUUGACCCGUAGAAUUGGGUUAACGGCUAUAGGAUCACAGAGCUUGGGGUCUAAAUCGCUAGGAGCCGUUUCCUUCUAUGAGAGUUUAUAGUAUCUAGUCCUUUACCUCUCUCAUGACUUUAUUAUUCGUGUUUGUUUCACUAAGUUUGUGUUACUUUGAUUAUGAAUUUUUAUGUGGCCUUGAUUGAAAUUGAUUACCUUAGUUAAUUUAAUUUUGUUUAAACUUUUAAUCAUCUAGAAUUGAUUUUAUUCGGCCAAUUUCAUAUUUAUUUGAUACUCGUAGAUGUAAUAAUGGUAUCUAUGGUUUAACCACUCCUUGUUACCAUUUUAACCUACGAAUCAAACUUUUUAAUAGUAAAUGGUCAACCUUGUCUUUUAAAUGCAAUUUCAAAGGGAAAUAUAUUUUUGUAAUUGAAAUAAAAUGUUUGGUUAUAGUCCUUUUGCAAAAUACUUAAUUAAUGAGUUUUAUCACUUUAAUUAAAAAAUUUCAAAUAAAUAGUUAUAAAUAGGUUUCAACUAGUUAACCCUCUUAUGUUUUCAAGUAGCUCAUCUAUCAAAUUUGAUUCUUCGUUUAACUCAGCAUAAUCUAAACGUUUAUUACUUUACACUUAUUCCUAACGUUAUUUUAAGUUUUCAGAUUUUACAAAUCUCCAAACAGAAGGUAUGCAGACAUUCGUACACUACCAUAUAUAAGGAAUAUUUUUCACUAUUACUAUUCUUAUUCUUACUAUUGUACUAUUAUUACAUAUUAUCAUUUGUGUGUUAUAUCAAUUCUGCUACCACAUUUUGCUUUACUCACUUUCAAUAUAUUGAAAUCUCAUAAAUCAAGUAAAUUUUUGCAUCUUUCAUAUACUCUCACAAAUAUACAUAUUUAUGUUUAUCUUACAAUGAAUGAACUCUCGCAUACUUUAGAGUAUACUUUUCUAUUUUUAUAACAACUUGUUUAUGUAUUUGACUUAAUAUACCUUUAAACAUAUUUUCAUAUAAAAUUAUGACACUUCUAUAUUUUCUACUACAGGUAUAAUAAAGGUACUACUCUUCUCCAUAUUUCUGAAAACAUUCAUAUAUGUAUUUUGCAAUUGUCAUAUUACGUCCUUGUGUAUUAUAGUAUUACAUCUUAUAUAACUUGAAUAUCAUUUUCGAUAAUAAUAAAAGUUUUCUCAUCAUUGUUUUAAGCAAAUAACAAAAUAAAGUUUUUCUAAUAUUUUUCUAAACUAAGCGUAAGGACUAUCUUCGGAUAGACCCAGAGGGGUGCCUAACACCUUCUCCUCGGGUAACCAAAACUCUAACUCCGAAUCUCUAAAUAUUUUUGAAAGAUCAAAACAGAGUUUUCUACAAAAAAAAAUGGUUUUUCCUAAUUUUCCUAAAAAGUUAGGUGGCGACUCUAAAAAAUAAUUUUCAAAUCCCAAGAGUUACUAAACGCUACCAUACGUCGUGUGUUAUUUCGACUGGUUCGAAAUAGGGUGCGACGGAAUGACAACUCUACUGGGGAAUAAUGAACUUAGGUUUUUUAGCUUAACAUGCUUAGUUUAGGAUUUUUAUGUUUUAUUAUGUUAUUUGCUUUACGUAUCUUUAUUAUGUUAUUUGUUAUUUGCUUUACGUAUCUUUAUAUGUUAUUUGUUUUUGUGUGAAAGGACAGUCAAAUCCAAACUUGUGUUCCUUAUUUGUUUGAACAACACUACUUGUUACUGCUUUAUCACUUGCAUUUUCCUAUCGAGUCUUUGGCCGUACACAAUUCACACACUAUGGUUCACGCGGGGGGUGUAUCUAUACUCCCCUAAACCUUCUUUGGAUUCCUUAGUUUCAGAGUUGAUGCAAUUAGAUUAGUGCACCUUCUCGCAGCUAUUCAGUCCUAUUCUCAAAUAUUUAGGAAAAUAUCUUACUUUAGAAAUAGGUCAUGUCACAUAAACCCUAGGCACGACGGUCCAAGGCAAUGUCAUCGCAAUUAGGAAACCACCCUUUUGUCAAAGGUUACAAACCUGUCGACAUAUUUUGUGUGAUGAUUGAUGUUAACGGUCUAAACUAAAAUAGAUAAUGAAUUUGAGAUAAACGACUUAUCAUAUCAUUUACCCUUUCUUUCAGAUGGAUACCAACCAAACCAUACUAAACAUCCAAAUGAUUGCCUUAGUCCCCCAAAACUUACAAACCUGGUAGCAAAAUAUUCAAGCCGUGCAAGGGUCCAAAGUCAGAGAACACUUAGGCUCUUUGGUGUUCCUCAUAGAUAUUCAGGCCAACGAAGCACUCGUAAAACUAUUGGUUGAGCUUUGGGAUCCAUCCACCACAACAUUUCAGUUUACAGACUUCGAAAUCACCCCAACUUUGGAAGACAUCAGUAGCCUCACGGAUUUUCCUCUUGAAGGAAGGUUGAUGUUAGUCCCAUUGGCCAUGGCAAUGGUUUUUUGCAUACUUUGGGUUUAUGAGAAGACCAUGCACCGAGGAGCAUCAGAUACGGUUGGUUUAACUUGGGUUACCUAUUUCAAAUAUUUGGAUAUCAAAUGAGCUAUGACCAUCACGAGAGGACUUCGCUUGUAGCUGAACUAGGUGGGAGAGUGUUCGCACCGUGUCUUUCGCACUUGCCAUACUGGGAAUUCUAGUUUUUCCUCGAAGAAGGGGACAUAUCAACAUCAACUUGAUGCCUUUGGCUCCUCCCAUGUUCAUCGGUUUUAAGAGAUUGAUGUUAGUGCCAAUACUGCUGGCAGGAUUAUUUCGAUCUUUGUCUGCUUGCUCGAGAGGGAAUGAUUUCUUUGGUGGAUGUAACCUGCUACUUUAAGUCUGGGCCGUAGAAUACUUCUAUCAACGAGCGCCAAUCGAAGAUAACUUAUAGGACGACCCCAACAUGAUAUAAAACCAUGAACAAAGGUUGAGAUUUUGGGAGGCACCACUAGGAUCAGAAGAAUGGUGGGCUUAUCUGACGUACCUCACAGGAGAUGCCAUCCAAUGAAAGCUUCCUGGGAUUACAGGGAAAGCACUAUUGAGAAGGUACACUAGUUAUUUUAUUGAGCUAAUUGGAUUGGAAGGAAUCCAACCGUACGCUCCACUUAGAGUUCAACGUCAAUUUGGCAUAAAACAAAAUAUCCCUUUAUGGUCGUCCAUGGAUCCAGCGGAAAUUACUUACGAAAAAUAAGUGCCUUGGGACAGAAUUACGAAGCUACAGGAAAUAUGGAUGAACAUAUCAGCAGAAAUUGGACAAACAACUUGGUACACCUCAGAGUAUUAUGCAUGGAAAGUAGAAGGAGGUCUAAUAACACGACCAAGCUGGGAAAGGAUUCCUGGGUUGGUGGACUACGACAUGGUGUGUCAGGUGGCGAGGGAAAUACUACCUCACAUGUAUCUUACCACCUCCAUGUACCAACAGGUAGUUCCGGGAUAGGUGGAUCACAUGAUUCCUCCAGACGAUAAUGAUGAUGUUAAGGAAGGCACAAACGAGGAAUUAGGCGACCAAUCCAUGAGGAAUGAAGAUAAUUCAGACUACCCAGAGUGGCUAAUAAAUAAUCAAGAUUUCAUGGACUAUUUUCUGUGCCCACGAGAUGACAAUGACAAUGGCCCCACUUGGCCUUAGACUUCCUUUCUUGUUACACUUUCUAUAUUCCCUAAAUAUCCAUAUGGUCAACCCCUUGUAAGCCCUUGCGGCCAUCCUUGUACUUUCUUUCUAAACUAACUUUGAUCUAUUUUAAUGUAACUAUUUGAAGCCUUUGUUUAAUGAAAGUCAUGUUUAUUCUUAAAUCCAAAUGUGUUUAAAUAAACCGUUUAUCAUCAAAUUGAUUGUAACGUAGGCCUACCUCUGGUGAAAAGAGGCUCUAUAUUAGGACGUGUUUGGAUGUUGUCAACUUGGCGUAUAUAUAUGUUACUUACUUGUUACAUUUUCAUUAUUACCCAAACUAACAUAGUUUUCUUUUGCUUUUUCUUUUCUUCCUUUCUUUUGUUUAUUAAUCCCGAUAAAAAAUAAAAAUAAAAAGUUGAUUUGUGUCGACUGAAAAACUGGUGGAAUCCCAAUACGACCUUCGAUCGAAAGACAAAAUGACUAAUAAAGAUAAGGCCGUGAUGAUCCCAGUAGAUGACACCGCGGGGUUCUAAAUGGCCGUCAGAUACUCAGAAUGAUGAUCAAAUGGCCAAUAUGGCACAGGAAAUUGAGGUCCUAAAGAAGAACUCCAUCAAAUACGGGAUCUAAUCAAGCUUACAAUAGCUAGCUUUCCCGCUCAGCCGCAGGCUCCAAGUAUUGAAUUACGUCCAGGCGUUUCCGCUAACCAAGCAAGUAUACCGCAUGCUCAAGACCUACCAGCUUUUCAACCUACUGUCGAAACUAUACCUACUUAUUCAUUUCCUACCCAGAACUUUACUAUUCCAAUCCAUCCAGAAAUACAACAUAUAUCCAAGGCAUAUGUCACUUGUGAGAUACCUGUGCCACUUAUAUAUGCUACCGAAGCUUCUGCUUUCGCAGCAUCUGCGACUCUUAAGGUUCCAUAUGAGGUUGAUGGAUAUGCAAGAUUGAGAAAAGAUGUCCAAUCAAGUGAAGAAGGGUCUAUAUCAUCCCAGCUUGAGAGUCUAAAGCGAGCAUUCAGACAUAUGCAAGUCACCAGGGAAACUGAAAGUUUGGACUACGAUGACUUAUGCAUUCAUCCAGACAUUGACAUGCCAAUGGGAUACAAACCACCAAAGUUCGAUGUGUUUGACGAAAAAGGUGACCCGCAUGCACACCUGAUGGCUUACUGCGACAAGUUGGUCGGGGUAGGAAGGAACGAGAAGUUGAGAAUGAAGUUGUUCAUUCAGAGUUUGUCGGGAGAAGCUUUGACUUGGUACAUCUGACAAGACCCUCGUAAGUGGCGUGACUGGCAGGAAAUGACUAAGGAUUUUAUGAUUCGUUUUAGAUUUAACACUUAGAUUGCUCUAGACAGGUUCUCAUUGGCUAAUAUACAGAAGAAGUCAUUCGAUUAUUUCAAUAAUAUGCAUGGCGAUGGAGGACCAAGGCUGUAAGGAUCCAGCCUCCUUUGGAUGAAAGUGAGCUCUCCAAAUAUUUUAUCCGAGCAUAAGAGAGUGUUUACUUUGACAAAAUAAUGUUGAUGAUGGGCCAAAAGUUUGCAGAAUUGGUCAAAAUGGGAGAUUUCAUAGAAGAAGCCAUCAAGUCGGGGAAGAUCCAAUCUAUGGUUGUACUGCAAGUAAGGCCAUGCAGAUUGCUUCCAUUAAUGGUAAUAAGAAAAAGAGGGAGGACGUCUCAACCGUCACACCAUACUACCGAUCGGGAAAUUCUUCCCACCAUUACCCUAACAACCCCCAAAUUAUUGCAUACGUCCCAGUGUAUAAUACUCAACCGCAUUAUAAUCCUCCUCGAGAUCCAGCAUACCAAAAUCCACCAAGACCAUACGCCCUUGUCCAAGCUCCAGCUCACCCAAAUAGACCAGCCUAUGCGCCCAGACCACGUCCAAAUUUUGAAGCCAGAAAUAUUUGCACUUACACACCAAUUGCAGAACCUUUGGCCCAGUUGUUUGAGAGAUUGAGGGUUUUCGGUUUUUUGCAUCCAAUUGAGGGGAAGGCCCCUGAUUUGACUUCUCAAAACUUUGACGAUAGCAAGCAGUGCGCCUAUUACUCAGGAGUCCAGGGGCACGAAACGGAAGACUGUUACAUCUUGAAGAAUAAAAUUGAGUCUCUGAUAAGAAGGGAUAUCAUCAAAUGCACCGUCGCAGCUCCCAAUGUGAACAAUAACCCUUUGACAAAUCAUGGAAAUCGAGAAGUCAACAUGAUUACUCUAGAGGAGGAGUACGAUUUGGAAGAAACUAUUAUGCCCACAUGAAGCGCAGAGGAGAUCACCACUGCAUCCCCAGCACAUCCAUUUAUCACAGUUCAGUUGAGGGAGCCUAUAACUGUUCUGACAUACCUGUCGAGAGUUGUAGUGAUCACAUCAGCCACUGGUAGGACCGACUAUGACACUAAGGCAGUCCCAUGGGACUAUCAAGCUAAAGCUAAGGGAAAAAUAAUAGACGUUGUUGCGGCUCAAGGGAUGACCAGGUCGGGAAGGUGUUAUGCGCCAGAGGAACCAAAUCGUGGAGUUAUCCAGAAAGAUCAAAACCCGAAGAGAAAUAUCACAGAUGUUGAAGCUGCAGAAUUUUGAAAGAAGAUGCAGCCCAAGGACUAUUCAGUCGAGGAUCAACUCAAGAUCAAGACACCGACCCACAUAUCCGUCAUGUCUUUGCUUAUGAGUUUUGAAGCCCAAAGAAAUACUUUGAUGGAAGUGUUAUCUGGGAUUAGCAUACCAAAAGGAGACAACUAGCGAAACUUUGGCCGCAACAAUCGGGCGAGUGGUAGAGGCAAAUAAGGUCUCUUUCCAUGAUGAUAAGUUACCGUCAGAAGGAGCUGCACACAACAAAGCGCUCUAUAUUACGGUCAGAUAUCAUGACAAGAUUGUGAACAGGGUCUUGAUUGAUAGUGGUUUGGGUUGCAAUAUCUUUCUGUUCUCCACUCUAAGAGAUUUGAGUGUAAAUAUAGAAGAUAUAAGGGAAAGUCAGGUUAAGGUUAGAGCCUUUGAUGGGUCGCAAAGGAGUGUCAUCGAGGAAAUUUACUUAACACUGCAGAUAGGACCAAUAGAAUUUCCUAUCCUAUUUCAGGUCAUGGAUGUGUCAUCUAGCUACAACCUGUUGUUGGGGAGGCUAUGGGUCCACAUGAAAAGAGUCGUUCCUUCCACUCUCCAUCAAUGCAUGAAGUUUGAAUGGGGUCAUACAGAAGUUACUGUCCAUGGAGAACUUAGUCAUCCUAUUUAUUAUGUCAAUUCAGUCCCAGUCACCGAGGAGUUAGAUAGAGCCACUUUUCAUACUCUGGAGAUCAUGAAAGCUACAAGGAUCAAUGAGAAGGCAAUGCCAGCGAAAGCAAAAAUAUCGAAUAGUAAAAAGAUGGUUGCAUCGGAGAUGUUGAAAUAUGGGUAUCAGCCCAAGACAGGACUAGCACCCAGAGUCGAUGGUAUAGUCGAGCCAAUCCAAUUAAAGCAGCAGAAGGGUACUACAGGGCUUAGAUAUGAGCCCAUUUUUGGAGUAGCCUGCAGUAAAGGAUUUGGAAUGACAGUAUUUGUGCCAGCCCGAGUCCCAAUUUCAAAACAAAUAGAAGAUGAAGAUAUCAUAGAAGGAAUAGGAAAUUUGUUUAUGGCCUGAUCGAAGAAGAAUCGGAGAUAGCUUUCAAGAAGCUCACCAUUCGUGAUGCCGAGCCUGGAGAAGCCUUGCAGAAAUGGACCAUCAGCCCAUCCCUGUUUCGCCAGGAGUCUUGGUAGUGUGGGACUGUUGUUGUCUUUUAAAAAAAAAUUAUUUUGUUUGCAUGAUCAAUUGAGGCUUGAAUCAGGCCUAAGCUCUUUUUUCACUUGCCUCUUGUCAAAGCCAGUGCUUUUAUUAAUAAAAGUCCUUAUUUUCAAAACUUAUUUUCCUAUUUUCAAUAUCUAUUUACUUUACUCGCUUUUUAUACUUUUCAGCACAAAUGUUAAUAAAAAUUCUUGUUCCACGAUUAUGACAUGUAACGAAUCUGUUGAGCAAAACACAAGUGAUGAGAAAGAUUACGAGGAGUAGAAUAAAAGCAUGAUGCCUGAAAACCUACCGCAGAAGAUCGAGCAACUUGAGAGUCAGAAGAAGCCUAAUAUCGAUGAAACUGAAGUCAUCAAUUUAGGUAAUAAGGAGACACUGAAGGAAACAUGAGUCAGCAUACACUUGGAAGAUGAAAGGAAACAGGAAUUGAUAAGGCUGCUCAAACAAUACAUCGAUGUGUUUGCUUGGUCUUACGACGACAUGCCUGGUUUGAGCACUGAUAUCGUCUCGCAUCGACUGCCGACCAACCCCUCAGGUUCACCGAUGAAGCAAAAGAUAAGGAAAUUCAAGCCCGAUUUGAGUUUGAGAAUCAAGGAGGAGGUGACCAAGCAGAUAGAAGCCAACGUCGUGAGGGUCAAAACUUAUCCCACCUGUCUAGCCAACAUCGUGCCCGUACCAAGAAGGAUGGAAAGAUAAGAAUAUGUGUAGUCCAAAAGAUGAUUUCUCUCUCCCAAGCAUUCACAUUCUCAUUGAUAAUUGCGUGAAACAUGAGUUGUAGUCGUUUGUUGAUUUUUUUGUGGGAUAUCAUCGAAUUUUGAUGGACAAAAAUGAUGCAGAAAAGAUAGCCUUCAUCACUUCGUGGGAAGUAUACUCUAACAGGGUAAUGCCGUUUGGGCUCAAGAAUGCCAGUGCAACGUACAUGAGGGCCAUGACUACUUUUUUCCAUGAUAUGAUUCUCAAAGAAAUUGAAAUGUACAUGGAUGAUGUCAUCAUCAAAUCUAAAAGGAGUUUAGACCAUUUGGAUGAUUUAUGAAAGUUUUUUGAAAGACUGCGAAGGUACGACCUAAAGUUGAAUCCAACUAAAUACGCAUUUGGAGUUCCCGUGGGAAAGUUAUUGGGAUUCAUUAUUAGUAGGAGAGGUAUAGAGUUAGAUCCAUCCAAGAUAAAAGCAAUCUAAGACUUACCACCUUCUAAGACCAAAAAGGACUUAAUGAGCUUCUUGGGAAGACUUAAUUACAUUAGUCGGUUCAUAGCUCAGUCCACAAUAAUUUGUGAACUAAUAUUUAAGUUGUUGAAAAAAGAUGCCGCCACUGGAUGGACUGAAGAAUGUCAGGAGGCUUUUGAGAAAAUCAAGGAAUAUUUGUCUAACCCACCAGUAUUGGUUCCACCAGAACCAGGAAAGUCGUUGUUGUUAAAUCUAUCCGUUAUGGAUAAUGCCUUUAGAUGUGUGUUAGGGCAGCAUGAUGAUACAGGGAGGAAAGAGCAAGCCAUUUACUACCUGAGUAAGAAGUUCACCCCGUAUGAAGCUAGGUAUACAUUGUUGGAGCGGACCUGUUGCGCAUUGACCUAGGUUGUGCAAAGUUAAUCCACUACCUAUCCGCGUAUACCACGUACUUAAUUUUGAGAAUGGAUCUACUCAAAUACAUCUUUCAGAAACCAAUGCCUACUGGAAAAUUAGCAAAAUGGUAGAUUUUGUUGUGUGAGUUUGACAUUGUGUACGUGACACAAAAAGCCAUCAAAGGACAAGCUUUGGCUGAUAACCUCACAGAAAAUCCAGUGGAUCAACAUUACACGCUGCUCAAUACCUAUUUUUCCUGAUGAAGAGGUGUUUUUGCGGGAGAGAACAUCUCAGAACCAUAUGAUGGAUAGAGGAUGUUCUUCGAUGGAGCAGCGAACUUCAAAGGAGUCAGAAUUAGAGCAGUCCUAGUUUCAGAAACAGGUCAACAUUACCCAAUCUCGGCAAAGAUUAGGUUUCCUUGCACAAAUAACAUGGUAGAAUAUGAGGCUUGCAUUCUCUGGCUUAGGAUGGUAGUAGACAUGGAUAUUAAAGAGCUAUUGGUGAUAGGAGAUUCAGAUUUGUUGAUCCAUCAGGUGCAAGGAGAAUGGACCACCAAGAAUGUCAAAAUCCUUCCUUAUGUGCAAUGUGUUAAGGAAUUAAGCAAAAGGUUUACGAAGAUCGAAUUCAAGCACGUCCCUCAAAUUCAAAAUGAGUUCGUCGAUGCCUUGGAGACACUAUCUUCAAUGAUUCAGCAUCCAGAUAAGAAUUACAUCGAUCCCAUCAAAGUGGAGAUACAAGACCAACAAGCCUACUAUUUCCAUGUAGAUGAAGAGCCAGAUGGAAAGCCGUGGUACUAUGACAUUAAGAGAUUACUUGGAGUAGGAGGAUAUCCAGAAGGCACUAUUGGAAAACAGAAGAGGACUUUAAGAAGGAUGGCCAAUCAAUUCUUUCUCAACUGGGAAAUCCUAUAUAGGAGGACUCCAGACCUAGGAUUACUAUGAUGUGUCGAUGCCACAGAGGCCACAAGAUGUCAGAGGAGAUACAUACAGGAACUUGUGGACCACACAUGAAUGAUAUUAUGCUCGCAAAAAAGAUUUUGAGAGCUGGAUACUUUUAGAUGACCAUGGAGAGGGAUAACAUUCGAUUCGUGCAGAAGUGUCACCAAUGUCAAGUUCAUAGAGACUUUAUACGAGUUUCGUCAAACAAACUCAAUGUGAUAGGUUCUCCUUGGCCGUUUUCUGCUUGGGGCAUGGAUGUUAUUGGGCCCAUAGAGCCUCCUACGUCCAAUGGACAGCGUUUUAUCUUGGUCUCUAUUGAUUACUUCAUAAAGUGGGUUGAAGCCUCGACAUAUAAGGUCGUAACCAAGAAGGUGGUAGCAGAUUUUGUUCGCAAUAACUUAGUCUACCGGUUUGGAAUUCCAUAAUCAAUCAUAAUAGAUAAUGGAGCCAAUCUUAAUAGUGACCUGAUGAGAGAGAUUUAUGAAAGGUUUAAGAUCUCUCAUCGAAAUUCCACGGCAUAUCGACCACAAAAGAAUGGAGCAGUUGAAGCUGCAAACAAGAAUAUCAAGAGGAUUUUGAGGAAGAUAGUGGAUGGUAAUAGAGAAUGGCAUGAGAAGUUGUCAUAUUCUUUACUUGGAUAUCACACCACAAUCAGAACUUCUACUGGGGCAACUCCCUACAUGUUGGUUUAUGGGUCAGAAGCAGUAAUACCUGCAGAAGUGGAGAUACCUUCAUUAAGAAUUAUCCAGGAGGUUGGUCUAGAUGACGCCGAAUAGAUUCAUAGUAGGAUCAAGCAGUUGAUGUUUAUUGAUAAAAAGAUAUUAGACGCAGUCUGUCAUGGUCAACUCUAUCAAAAUAGAAUGAUUAAGGAAUUCAACAAGAAGGUCAAGCCUCGACGAUUCACACCAAAACAGUUGGUAUUGAAUAAGAUAUUCCCUCACUAAGAUAAAGCCAAAAGAAAAUUUGCACCAAACCGGUAAGGUCCUUACAUAGUUCACCGAGUACUCUCAAGAGGAGCAGUGAUAUUUGCAGAACUGGAUGGCACAGUAAGCACGAAGACGAUCAAUUGAGAUGCCAUCAAGAAGUACUACAUUUGAAGACAUUAGGAAUAGUAGUUAUUUCUUUCUUUGUACUUUUUCAUUUUUCUCCAAUGUAACAGAACUACGUAUUAGCCUGACUUCCCACGAUGGGAUACGUAGGCAGCCCACAUCGAAUUCGGUCCCUUCAUAUUUUUACCUUUCCAUUGUACUGAACUACGGCCUGACCUGAUUCUACUUGGAUAUGUAGGCAGCUUGAGUCAGGACCGGUCAUAUCGAACUACGUUAUGACCUGAUUCCUAUUUUAAGGAUACGUAGGCUGCCUAAGUCAGGCUCGUUCAUUGCACUGCAUAUUUUACUUUUCUCGUUGUAUUGAACUACGCCAUGACCUGAUUCCACUUGGAUACGUAGGCAGUUUGAGUUAGACUCGGUCAUUGCAUUUUAUUUUUCCACCCUCGAACUACAUAAAGAACUGAUUCCACUUGGAUACUUAGGCAACCUGAAAGGUUCGGUCUUACCUCUAGGAAAAUCUCCUUUGCUCAUAGUAUAGCCUCAGAAUAUAAGAGAUCUCGCCGCCAUAAUUAUCGUAGCAUCGACAGUCAGCUCCACUAGAAAGAUAAAGCUACAUGGGUCACGAUCGACAAAUGGAGGCUUAACGGAUUUUUGAACGUGUCAUAAUCUAAAAGUGAUAAAGGAUUACUAUAUAUGCUUAAUAUAUACGUAAUAUUUACGAAAACAUAUAUACAUAUAUGUAUUUUUCACCAUAAUUUCAACUUUUUCACUUACUGAGACUCCAGAUUCGGGAGUGAUUGAGCAACCGAGGGAGUGUUGGAGAAUUCCGUAAACAAAGCCAGGAUUCCCAAGUCGACACAAAUCAACACCCCCUCCCAACUAAGAAUGUUUCUUUGAGCGCAGGAAAAUAGGAAUUGAAAGACUACAUUAAGUCAAGAUUUGGGAUAGGAUCAGGGGCAUCAUGCAGCUUACCACUAUGACAUGAGCCAAAUAUUCUUCCUUUACUUUAUUCUUUUUACAUACAUUUAUACUAAUCCUCACAAACUCUAAGAGUUUUAUCCGAAUUCUUUUGCAGGUACAUUUUGAAGACCCGGGUCAGAAACUAAGAAAAGAGGAUCUUCAUAGAAAGAUUAGGCUAUUUACUACUCCCAACAAACUCCGC
Molecule: long non-coding RNA, 14573 nt
Filed under: Capsicum annuum
Lineage: Eukaryota; Viridiplantae; Streptophyta; Magnoliopsida; Solanales; Solanaceae
Description: long non-coding RNA (CANN_LNC012736)
Source: RNAcentral